Molecule: long non-coding RNA, 1459 nt
Organism: Neofelis nebulosa (Clouded leopard)
Lineage: Eukaryota; Metazoa; Chordata; Mammalia; Carnivora; Felidae
Exons: 2
Source: RefSeq, a predicted model, not a curated record
GUGAUGUAAUAUUGGGUCACUACUAACCUGACAACAGGCCAGAAGGAGGACCCUCUACUUCUGGGCCAGGGCUGACCACAGAUCCAACAAGCUCCCUGAGGCUCAUAAGAAGACACUUUGCCAAAAGAUACACGGACACCAACUAAGGUUUAACGAGCUGCUUUCCCUGAUAUCUCAUUUAAUACACCACCUCAUGAAUUGGGCAGCACAGCUACCUCUGCCUCUCUUCUAGAAAUAAGGGAUGCUCGUUCAGACAACUUUCUCGCCACAAUCUAAUGUGCCUCACCACUCCUAACCGACAGUCUUACCAGUCAGCUUGCCAGUAACUUGAAGCCUGCAAGUGUAACGGGCCAGCAAUUUGUGCUUUUCAAAGAUUCCAACUGCCAAAAAUAAAUGAGAGCUUAGGACACAGCCACCAUGCUUAAUACCCAAAGACUUAUUUUGUUUGUUUUAUUUUUCAAAGGCUGUGGCUUUGCUGGCUCCUGCUUUAUAUGAUUUCUUAUUAUGCUCUAUGUUGAAUUAUACUUUUAAAUUUUUGGACAAAUCACUGUAACACAGAAGUCUUGUUCAAUUUAACAAGCUGUGGAGAGUGGCAAAUGGGGGCAGGAGGGUUCUCUUGAUGCCAAAAAAACAAGACUGACUUUGAAGUAUCUUGGUCACAUUAACAGCAAAGAGCAUCCUUUUUCUCUUACCAUAAAAGUACCUUGUGAAAAUACUACAGAAUCUGAGACAUACACAAAGUUCAGGAAAGCCUCGUGACCAAUGUACUCACUGCUGGUGUAAAUAUAGUGACAGAGAUCACCAACACUACCUUUCCCAACAGUAGACCUUAACAUUUGGUACCCGUAUUGGAACGCACACCAAUCCUGAGCCUUCACAUGUCCAUCAGCUUCCAAGGUGGGAAUGAUCAACUAGUGAAGGAAAAGAACUGAAAUGGUCAUUAUAAGCCCUAUUUUCUAAAUGUUAGCUCUGCCACUAUGUCUCAGUUGUUCUCAUUUCUACUAAGGACAAUACAUAUGUGGCAGUGCUCUGGAGAAGACACUUCCAGGUAGCCCUAAACUACUUGUUCUUGCAGUGAGUGGGAAGUGCACACGCCAACUAAGAGCCGUGCCUUGGCUCCGAAUACCCCUGCAGUGAGGUCAUAGCGAAGCCAGUCCAAGUGUUUGCUAGAAUAAACAAGAGGCCACAGAUGCGAUCUGAGAUGGCUUCCCUCCCUGGGCAAACAACUAGGUGAAUGUGUCAAGAGGAGAAGAUGGUGUAAGAGGUAAAGAACAGGAGUAGCCAGACCCCAAAUGUAGAUAAUUUUUGCAUGUGUUCUCACCGACUUCUUUCGGCAUCCAUCUCAACAGAACUUAAGUACGUUUCUAUGAGGUUAUAAACUGCACCGUUUCCCCCAUUUAGGUACCUGCCCCAAAUCACCAGGAAGAGAUAGGGAAAGUGAUAAAGGACUUACACAUUC